This 253-nucleotide ribosomal RNA is filed under the name uncultured bacterium. RNAcentral's name for it is "partial 16S ribosomal RNA". It matches the Rfam family "Bacterial small subunit ribosomal RNA", at positions 524 to 776 of the family's 1533-position model. The record is from RNAcentral.
UACGUAGGGGGCAAGCGUUGUCCGGAAUUAUUGGGCGUAAAGAGCGCGUAGGCGGUCCGAUAAGUCGGCUGUGAAAGUCAGGGGCUCAACCCUUGAAAGCCGGCCGAUACUGUCGGACUAGAGUCCGGAAGAGGCAAGUGGAAUUCCCGGUGUAGCGGUGAAAUGCGCAGAUAUCGAGAGGAACACCGGUGGCGAAGGCGGCCUUCUGGACAGUGACUGACGCUGAGACGCGAAAGCGUGGGGAGCAAACAGG